CGAAAGGAUUUUAUCAAAUCCAUUCUCACAUAAAUAAUGAAAAUA
Molecule: non-coding RNA, 45 nt
Organism: Neotoma lepida (desert woodrat)
Lineage: Eukaryota; Metazoa; Chordata; Mammalia; Rodentia; Cricetidae
Source: Rfam